RNAcentral lists this ribosomal RNA (255 nucleotides) under uncultured bacterium. RNAcentral's name for it is "partial 16S ribosomal RNA". It matches the Rfam family "Bacterial small subunit ribosomal RNA", at positions 524 to 776 of the family's 1533-position model. The record is from RNAcentral.
CACGUAGGGCGCAAGCGUUUGUCCGGAAUUAUUGGGCGUAAAGGAGCUCGUAGGUGGUCUGUUGCGUCCGCUGUGAAAACCCGAGGCUCAACCUCGGGCCUGCAGUGGGUACGGGCAGACUAGAGUGCGGUAGGGGAGAUUGGAAUUCCUGGUGUAGCGGUGGAAUGCGCAGAUAUCAGGAGGAACACCAAUGGCGAAGGCAGAUCUCUGGGCCGUAACUGACGCUGAGGAGCGAAAGCAUGGGGAGCGAACAGG